RNAcentral lists this RNase P RNA (343 nucleotides) under Methylophilus rhizosphaerae. RNAcentral's name for it is "Bacterial RNase P class A". It matches the Rfam family "Bacterial RNase P class A". From Rfam's summary of the family: Ribonuclease P (RNase P) is a ubiquitous endoribonuclease, found in archaea, bacteria and eukarya as well as chloroplasts and mitochondria. The record is from RNAcentral. Lineage: Bacteria; Pseudomonadati; Pseudomonadota; Betaproteobacteria; Nitrosomonadales; Methylophilaceae.
GAAGCCAACCAGACAGUCGCUGCCUGUGCAAACAGGGAGAGGAAAGUCCGGGCUGCACAGAGCGGGAUGACGGCUAACGGCCGUACGCUGAAAGCUGGUAACAGUAUAAGGCGAGGAACAGGGCCACAGAGACGAGUAAACUGUUUUCGGACAGUGGAUGUGAAACGCGGUAACCUCCAUCUGCAGCAAUAUCAAAUAGGCUGGCAUUUUACGCAAGUAAUAAGGCGUGGCUCGCGCUGCCAGCGGGUAGAUAGCUUGAGCGUGUGAGUAAUUGCACGCCUAGAGGAAUGACUGUCAGCUACGCAAGUAGUUACAGAACCCGGCUUACCGGUUGGCUUUAUUU